GGCUCGGUAGCUCAGUUGGUAGAGCAUACGAUUGAAGCUCGUAGUGUCGGGGGUUCGAUUCCCUUCCGCGCCA
RNAcentral lists this transfer RNA (73 nucleotides) under Weissella koreensis. It matches the Rfam family "tRNA". Rfam says of the family: Transfer RNA (tRNA) molecules are approximately 80 nucleotides in length. Their secondary structure includes four short double-helical elements and three loops (D, anti-codon, and T loops). RNAcentral also lists the same sequence under 2 other names. The record is from Rfam by way of RNAcentral. Lineage: Bacteria; Bacillati; Bacillota; Bacilli; Lactobacillales; Lactobacillaceae.